This is a long non-coding RNA of Rhododendron vialii, 1192 nucleotides long. RefSeq lists it as uncharacterized. The record is from RefSeq and is a predicted model, not a curated record. The transcript has 3 exons. NCBI's taxonomy places the organism in Eukaryota, Viridiplantae, Streptophyta, Magnoliopsida, Ericales, Ericaceae.
AUAAUUCCUCCAAAGUAGGAAAUGUAACCUGCAACGCUCAUAAACCCCAAGGUCGGUAAUAUCAAACAACAUUGACCAAAAGAAAAUGAAAUUUUAAACCCCUAGAAUAUAUAUUAGAAUGAGUGGCUUCCAAAAGUUAGCUUCAAGUUAACAAAUCAGGGUUGCAUGUGUCUUGACGCUAGUUUUCAUUAGAUGUCCAUGUGAUAUGCAAGUUAAUCAACACUGAAGAAGAGAAGAUAAGAUAAGAGUAGAGGAUAAAGAAAUAGGUUUUGGUAACAUAACCUAUUUUCUUUACAAAACAUCGAAAACAUCUUCCCUAGCCUUCAGGACAACCCGGGCUGAAAAAGUGGAGGUUGUUCGGCCACCAACAACCAAACGUUGGUCACCAUCUUGCAACCGAACAUUCUCCAAACUUUCAUUUUGGUUGUCAAAGAUUGAAAUUGUCCGACAGUUUUUCCACCAUCUCUCCUAAAACCAAUUGGUUUUAGCGAGGGCUUCAAUUAAGUUUUUUACGGCAUUCGACAUUGCACCCGCAAGUCUGUUUUUAGAGCGGUCGCAGAGAGUGACAUUAUGUAACUAAAUCCAUAAGGGCGCUCCGGGCCCAACAAAAAUGAACAUGAAUAUGGGUUUUGAAAUAGCACAAUGGUGAGCAUCAGAUGUUAAUUUGUUGUUAUUCUGCUGUGGGUGAAGGCAAAAGGGAGGAGGGUGGGUACUGAGAAAUUAAGAGAUACUUUUGGAAUUCAUAAAAUUUAAAUGUGUUUUCAUACAGAGUAAUUAUAAAUUAAUUUCUCUCUUCACGUAUUUAUGUAUGCACAUUAAAUCAAGGUACUGCUACAAUAAUACCCUUAGAAAGUUAGCAUAGAUAUUAAACAGAUUGAAUAACAUACAAAAAAACAUGCUACAAUAUCGAUCGAAAGGAAAAUUGCUAAAUCUGUUGUGAAGUGGUAAACAAAAUUGGAUGAUAAGCUUGAUAAAUGAGUGGGCCUUGGUGUUAGUUGGAGAGACAAGAGGUAGUGGAAUUGAUCAAAAUGGAUGAGGUCAAACCCAGUAGGCUGCCCUGCUGCAUUUCGAUGGGAGUAAGUGAGAGUGAGAGAGAGAGAGAGCGCCAAUUAUACAUCUAUGUAUCUAGUGAAUGUAAUUUCUCUGGGAAAUUAAGAGAGAGAUCGAGAGAGAGCGCCCCCCACCGGUGAGA